UGCUCACUUGUGCAAGUAAAUGAUCUAUUAACCUGAGUAUACAACUUUUGCAGAAAUGCUCCAUUUGCACAUCUCUGAAAGGCAUCCGUCAGCACUUCGUGAGAAAAACAAAGUAUAGAUAUGGAGGCAACGUACAAGAAGAUGAUUCUUCAACGAUUUUAAAGUUGAAGAUGGAUUGAUCAACCUUGAGGUAUACUUAUCAUUUAUGUAAUUAUUAGCUUAAUUUUAACAAAAGCUAACAGAUUUAUGUGUCAAUUUCUUAGUCGCUUGAUUUAGGGUUCAUGCCCUGGAUUUCUUUUGUUCUACAAUUGGUUCUUACCAGAUGUUGAAAACUACUCUAAGGUUACAUCUUUGAACAUAUAAAGUUCAUUAAUCUUUUAGAGAAGUAAAUUAAAGUCUGUUUACAGAAAAAUGGAAAAACACAUAGUUAGAAGAGGAAAAUUACUUCAUUUUGAACGGAAUCAGACCUUUUGUGUCAUGAUUUCUGGUCUCCUAACCGUAGUUCUUAUUGUUUCUACAAAGUUGUUAGCAUCAGAAGUCAAAGGAUGUGGCGGGUUCGGGUAUGGGUUGAAGAUCCGAGAGGCCUGGAGUUUGACAAAGUCAGCCAUUUGGAAAUUCAGGUACUUAAUUGUCAUUUUAUAUAUUCAACCCACAAUUAAAAGCUUAAAACUGAGCUGGAAACAAAGUUAUGGCCAUAAAAAGUAACAAUAAUCAGAGUUAAUUCGGCCCCUAAUAUCCAGAAAGCCUUUUUUUAAGCCCAUAACAGAAAUUAUCAAAAAGCUUCUAUUCCAUAAGAGACCAAGAGUACGUUCAGUUAACUUAUCUUGGGCCUGCUUGAAUUAAGAACUUCGUCCGUUUGCUCUUCUAGUCCUUUCUCUUACCACGCUUUCUUGCGGCGCAAUUACAAAAGCAGGGUUUCUUGGGGCAAACCCUUGUAAUGGCUUACUAGAGAAUCUCCAUCUCUAGAUUUGCGAAAGAAAAUCCCUAAUUAUCAAAAUCUGAGAUGGACAACCUUAAGAUCUUUGAUCCUUUCUCCAGCAAAUUCCUAGAUCUUGUCUUCUCCAUCCUCCAUGUUCUAAAUCGUACUGAAAGCUUGAAGCUGAUUCUUCCCGUUUGUAGGUAUGGAGAAUUGGUGUUCCAGGUGGAAGAAGUGUUUGACCAUAACCAGCGGUUGUGUCUCAUUCUUUUAAGUUGGCGGGAGAGAGGAGGAGGUCACUGGAAGAUCUUGAAGACUUCUCUGAGGUUGCCGGAAGCUCCCUUUAUCCCGGAAAUGGUCGCCGGAUUCAUUUCUUUGUUUCUUUUCUUCCUCCGACGGAUUGGCAACUUCCAGCUCACACUUCCUUUGGGCAAUGGUCUCACACUUUUCUCACGAAUACAAGACAUCUCUGACCCCAACCACCGGAAUAGGAACUUACAUGCUAUACAGAUAGGAACCAGAAGCAAAACAGGAUAUUACCUCCUCUUCAAGGCUCGAUUCAAAUAGCCUAUAUAUAUAUACACACGCGCAGAGACACGGGUAAUUACGUCAUAUGAAAUAAGAAUCACAUAUCUAUCUGUUUAUUUUCUUGCACCUUUUUUUUUUUUUUUUUUUUGUCUACGGCCUACUCCUUUCUAUUUUUGUUCUUUAAUACUAUCAGAAAUGCAUGCAUAUAUGUUGAUUGUGGACUAUUUUCUUUAACCACAGGUGUCAGGGGAUUUUUUGUCGGAUGCAAGCAAUACGAAACAGUAAUUAGGGUUCUGAUAUAUUUUGGUUAUACAUUUAGGAAUGUAUACUUGCUACCCAUUUGGUUCAUAAUUUCGUAUUCAGUUCCUAAGUAAAUUAAUUCAUCCAAGCUGGCUAUGGCCUCGGAUGCUAAGUUUGUUUUCGGGAUUAUAUUCUUUGCUCAACAUGGAAACUUUCUUAAUGGAGAUUUUGACGACUGUCAUCUUGCUCCUCGGCUUACUCGUGGAUUUAUCUAUCAAGUUUAAACGUUUGCGCCUGUCUACAGAAUUUUCAGCCUUGCUGAAAUCCCAAGCACAAGUUUCGGGCUUCUUGUCACUUCAAGGGUUGGAGUAAGUUUUUAUAAGUGGCAAUUAAACUUUUCAUCACUGUAAGCAUGGCAAUGUGGAUGCUGAAACUUCCUGUUUCUCAGGCCUCUUGAGUCUUUUAUUUCCUAAUUCAGUGCAUGCCAGUGAAUUGCUGUCGGUUUGGUCUGUAUUUUUAAGUGGAUGUGUCUGUAGCUGUUCCUAGUUCUCAAAACUGCUACAAAUUUGUUGAUUGUGUACCUUAUUAGCUUCAUAAUAAUAAGAUGUUUGUUGUUGAA
This 2303-nucleotide long non-coding RNA is filed under the name Carica papaya (papaya). RNAcentral's name for it is "long non-coding RNA (CPAP_LNC005715)". The record is from RNAcentral. Lineage: Eukaryota; Viridiplantae; Streptophyta; Magnoliopsida; Brassicales; Caricaceae.